Molecule: long non-coding RNA, 615 nt
Filed under: Triticum aestivum (bread wheat)
Lineage: Eukaryota; Viridiplantae; Streptophyta; Magnoliopsida; Poales; Poaceae
Description: long non-coding RNA (TAES_LNC012998)
Source: RNAcentral
GUUAUUUCAUGCUGCUAUUUUAAUGAGAACCAAUGACCUCAUUAGCAUCAUAAUUAAUCAUCCAUAUUCAUAUUUACAAUUUUGGGGCAACUCAUGGGAAUUAGUCAAUCAAUACUAAAAAGAAUGGUAGUACAGCUCUCGGGAGAAAUUUCGUAUAACUCCACUGCUGGUUCUUUGGUGUCAAAAUUUCAGCAUACAUGUGAAUAUUAAAUCAACCUUGGGUACCUAAAGAAAUUAGGAAAAACACUAAGGCUGCAGUGCGGCUCACAUGUCCUCGUCAGUUUCGGCGUGCCUAACGCAUCCUCGGCCAUUGUGGCGCGACCCCUACAUCCUUGGUGGCGGCCCUGGCGCCCACAUCCACCUGCAUCCACGCUUGGGCAUGAACAAUAUAACAGAUAAAUAAUGUGGACCAAUUGUUCAUGGAAUUUUGCAAUGUGAUAUAGGCUAUAGACUGCUAUGAUAGGCAAGAAUACUCAAAUUUAUAUUGUACCAUAAUGUCAAGCUCAAGAAUUUUGCACCAUAUCUUCUCCUUUGGCCCUACACCAACAUUUAGCAUGACGUCAACAACCUCAUGACUCCAUCGCUGGUGACUGAUCUUACCUGUCUAUUCCUACC